GAAAGAUUUCCGGUGUUUGAAAGGCAACAACAUCAGCGAGCAGCCACGAGGAAAGCAAUCUACCACACUCGUUUGGUCUUGUGUCAAAGCUGUGCGAAACUGGAGGGAGAAACUUCGGAGACCGUGCCGGAAGAAUGCUGGACAGAGUUCACUAAAAUUAAUUAAUUUCAAAGUUCAACAUGAAUGGUGGUGGUCCACUGCAGAAGCAAGUAUUUGAAAAAACAUCAGUUCUCAGUUAUUAAAGAUGCUGUGUUGAACAACUUCCCAUCAGCAACAGAACUGGAAGUGAAGGAUGCAAUGGGGGCAUUUCAAACAGGCACCAGGGAGCACGGUAGUGAUGGGUCGUUCGCGAACGCCGGCUCUAAGAGCUGAUUCUUUGUAGCGAACGAGCAGAGCCGAAUCUUCAGACGCAGGCAGGGGAGCCGGCUCUUCUAAGGGAGCUGAGCCAGAAGAGCCGAAUCUAUGAAAAGAGCCGGGCUGCCACCACUAAAAUGUAGAGCCGGAGCUUGAGCCGAAAGAGCCGAAUCAAUGGAAAGAGCCGGACUGCCCAUCACUAGAGCACGGGGUGGGGGGGGUAUAGAAAUUAGUACAAUUAAUAAGUUGACGUGAACUGAAGAUAGUUUGUUAAUGUUUAGAUGUUAUUUCAUUUUUCAAAUUGUAUUUUGUUAUUUAUGCUUUUAUUUUGUUACUGUUUUUAUUCUUUUUGUUAAGUAGUUUUUCUUCAUUUUGUCUUAUCUGAAUUUCUAUUGUAUUAACAAUAUUUUUUGUAAUAAAUUGCAUGAUUGCAUGUUUAUGAGAACCUUUUUUAAUGGAUUAAAAAGAAUUCUUUAGCCAUUCUUUUGUUCUUUAUUAGACACACACGUAUAGUCGUUUAAUAGCCGUCUAUUUAACGGCUAGUCUAAUCUUGGGCUAUGAUAGACGUCUACUAGAUUUUCACUGACAGCCCAAAAUUAGCCUUGUUUUAGCCUAGACCCACAUUCACCGUCUAUUAGACGUAUAUAUGUAGACGUUUAAUAGCCGUCUAUUUGAUGACUAGUCUAUUUCUUGGGCUAUGAUAGACGUCUACUAGAUUUUCACUGACAGCCCAAAAUUAGCCUUGUUUUAGCCUAGACGUCAGGGGGGUGUUUAGACGGCUACUAGACGUCUAUUAGCCGCAAAAUUGCUUGCUGGGAAGGAUGUCUUGUUUUCUUUUAUGACAUACAAAAAUCAACAAUCAAGAUUUAAAUGUGUAUGAAGCAUUGUAUGUUAUGAUUUGUGAUCUUGUAUACGUUUGUUUGCAGUAUAAGUGUCAGAAUUCACCAGUACAUAAUUGGCUCAUAAUGUCGUCAAGGCCAAAAGUUGUAUGCCAAUGAACGUUACCCGCCAUCUUGUAUCCAACUUUACAAGCAGAUCAGAGUAAAAGAGUAAAUCCUAAAUGGGGGAAUUUAAAAUAAUUGAAACAGUACAACUGGAUUCACACGAUGGUAUGAAACUGUGCGACCACAUCAUAGCCGAUGAAAGCUUUGAAAUCCUCCCUUUUUGGGGAGGCUGUAAACACAACAUGCAAGUGUGCCAGAUGCUUUGAUACACAGAUAUGUCAGUCGUGUAUCCGAAUGAAAGUUGAAAACCUUGUGUGCAUGGGCUCCUUUGAAGUGUACAUCUAUGAUCACAGUAAAACCCACUUUGUUGUUUUCUGUUGUGUGAGUCAUGAACUUGAUAUUAAACAUAGAAAAAAUUAGAGAAGGACUAUCUACAUGAAAUGUCAGGUCAAAUAUGAAUUGUGUGUACUGUUAGACUGUCUAAGUCUCUAUUGUGUUUGUG
Non-coding RNA from Paramisgurnus dabryanus, 1800 nucleotides. The record is from RefSeq and is a predicted model, not a curated record. Lineage: Eukaryota; Metazoa; Chordata; Actinopteri; Cypriniformes; Cobitidae.